GAGCAUUUCUUAAGAAGAAUACCUAGAAACAUCUGGGGUCUUUCUAUUUCAUUGUCUUACAAUUAUUAGGCCUUGUGUAAACGCUCGCAGAUUGAAUGAUGAAAUAAAAGAAGAAACUACAGCACAGAAGGAUUCACCUGACUGAAGGGAGACUGGAGCUUUUCCUCAUGUCUUUAAGGCUAUCCUUUAUCUGCUGCAGUUGGGUUUUCCUUGUUUUCUCCAUGACAGCCUGAGAGAUGUAGCUGGUGCUGCCACUUUUCCUUCAUUUUUCCCUGCCUUGAAUAUGGUGGUGAUGCCUGGAGCUUCAGCAGCCAUCUUAUGGCCAUGAAAUGGCAAGCAUGAGAAUGAAAGAAAAUGCACUCAUCAUGACAGGAGGAAGAGCAGAAGAAAUCUGGGUCACUGGUGAUAUCAAUGGAUAGCUGAAGCAAUGUGGGUAAUUACUUAUCUCUAAAAUUUCUGUUAUAUAAGAAAAUUUCAACCCACAUUUUAAAGCCAUGUUACUUAUCUAUGACUUGAAAUCAGAGGUAUUCCUAACAAAUAUAUAACUUACAAGGCUUUCC
This is a long non-coding RNA of Pan paniscus (pygmy chimpanzee), 560 nucleotides long. Lineage: Eukaryota; Metazoa; Chordata; Mammalia; Primates; Hominidae. The record is from Ensembl.